AUAUAACAUUACUCGGCCAAAAAACAAUAGUUUUUAAACCAAAGAUUUUGGCGGUAUUUUAUAGAAUCAGGGGAGCCUGUUACUUAAUAUGAUAAUCCACAAAUAUCUUACCAUCUUUAGAUAUCAGCUUGUAUACUACCGCCAAGUUUAACUUUAAGACAUAGACAACAAAUAAUACAUCUAUAAAAAUCCAGGCCAAAGUGCAGCUAAUAAUAUGGAGAAAAUGGGCUUCAUAUAUUUCAAUAUUUAACAUAUAAAAAUAUAAUAGAACUUGCCAGUAAUAAAUUUUUACUAUAAAUUUAUAAACAACUAAUAAAAUAUGCAC
Molecule: ribosomal RNA, 325 nt
Filed under: Olavius sp. 'pianosa 1'
Lineage: Eukaryota; Metazoa; Annelida; Clitellata; Tubificida; Naididae
Description: partial 12S ribosomal RNA
Source: RNAcentral